UGGCUCAGAUUGGACGCUGGCGGCAGGCCUAACACAUGCAAGUCGAACGGUAACAGGAAGAAGCUUGCUUCUUUGCUGACGAGUGGCGGACGGGUGAGUAAUGUCUGGGAAACUGCCUGAUGGAGGGGGAUAACUACUGGAAACGGUAGCUAAUACCGCAUAACGUCGCAAGACCAAAGAGGGGGACCUUCGGGCCUCUUGCCAUCGGAUGUGCCCAGAUGGGAUUAGCUUGUUGGUGGGGUAACGGCUCACCAAGGCGACGAUCCCUAGCUGGUCUGAGAGGAUGACCAGCCACACUGGAACUGAGACACGGUCCAGACUCCUACGGGAGGCAGCAGUGGGGAAUAUUGCACAAUGGGCGCAAGCCUGAUGCAGCCAUGCCGCGUGUAUGAAGAAGGCCUUCGGGUUGUAAAGUACUUUCAGCGGGGAGGAAGGGAGUAAAGUUAAUACCUUUGCUCAUUGACGUUACCCGCAGAAGAAGCACCGGCUAACUCCGUGCCAGCAGCCGCGGUAAUACGGAGGGUGCAAGCGUUAAUCGGAAUUACUGGGCGUAAAGCGCACGCAGGCGGUUUGUUAAGUCAGAUGUGAAAUCCCCGGGCUCAACCUGGGAACUGCAUCUGAUACUGGCAAGCUUGAGUCUCGUAGAGGGGGGUAGAAUUCCAGGUGUAGCGGUGAAAUGCGUAGAGAUCUGGAGGAAUACCGGUGGCGAAGGCGGCCCCCUGGACGAAGACUGACGCUCAGGUGCGAAAGCGUGGGGAGCAAACAGGAUUAGAUACCCUGGUAGUCCACGCCGUAAACGAUGUCGACUUGGAGGUUGUGCCCUUGAGGCGUGGCUUCCGGAGCUAACGCGUUAAGUCGACCGCCUUGGGGAGUACGGCCGCAAGGUUAAAACUCAAAUGAAUUGACGGGGGCCCGCACAAGCGGUGGAGCAUGUGGUUUAAUUCGAUGCAACGCGAAGAACCUUACCUGGUCUUGACAUCCACGGAAGUUUUCAGAGAUGAGAAUGUGCCUUCGGGAACCGUGAGACAGGUGCUGCAUGGCUAUCGUCAGCUCGUGUUGUGAAAUGUUGGGUUAAGUCCCGCAACGAGCGCAACCCUUAUCCUUUGUUGCCAGCGGUCCGGCCGGGAACUCAAAGGAGACUGCCAGUGAUAAACUGGAGGAAGGUGGGGAUGACGUCAAGUCAUCAUGGCCCUUACGACCAGGGCUACACACGUGCUACAAUGGCGCAUACAAAGAGAAGCGACCUCGCGAGAGCAAGCGGACCUCAUAAAGUGCGUCGUAGUCCGGAUUGGAGUCUGCAACUCGACUCCAUGAAGUCGGAAUCGCUAGUAAUCGUGGAUCAGAAUGCCACGGUGAAAAGGUUCCCGGGCCUUGCACACACCGCCCGUCA
Molecule: ribosomal RNA, 1390 nt
Filed under: uncultured bacterium
Lineage: Bacteria
Description: bacterial SSU rRNA
Rfam family: Bacterial small subunit ribosomal RNA
Source: RNAcentral